GAUGAACGCUGACGGAAUGCUUAACACAUGCAAGUCAACUUGAACUUCGGUUUGGGUGGCGGACGGGUGAGUAACGUGUAAAGAACUUGCCUCACAGAUAGGGACAACAUUUGGAAACGAAUGCUAAUACCUGAUAUUAUGAUUAUAUGGCAUCGUAUAAUUAUGACAGCUAUAUGCGCUGUGAGAGAGCUUUGCGUCCCAUUAGCUAGUUGGAGGGGUAACGGCUCACCAAGGCGAUGAUGGGUAGCCGGCCUGAGAGGGUGAUCGGCCACAAGGGGACUGAGACACGGCCAUUACUCCUACGGGAGGCAGCAGUGGGGAAUAUUGGACAAUGGACCAAGAGUCUGAUCCAGCAAUUCUGUGUGCACGAUGAAGUUUUUCGGAAUGUAAAGUGCUUUCAGUUGGGAAGAAAAAAAUGACGGUACCAACAGAAGAAGUGACGGCUAAAUACGUG
RNAcentral lists this ribosomal RNA (454 nucleotides) under uncultured bacterium. Its description in RNAcentral is "partial 16S ribosomal RNA". It matches the Rfam family "Bacterial small subunit ribosomal RNA", at positions 28 to 507 of the family's 1533-position model. The record is from RNAcentral.